RNAcentral lists this ribosomal RNA (2053 nucleotides) under Salmonella enterica. RNAcentral describes it as "partial 23S ribosomal RNA". It matches the Rfam family "Bacterial large subunit ribosomal RNA", at positions 422 to 2320 of the family's 2925-position model. Lineage: Bacteria; Pseudomonadati; Pseudomonadota; Gammaproteobacteria; Enterobacterales; Enterobacteriaceae. The record is from RNAcentral.
ACACGUGGUAUCCUGUCUGAAUAUGGGGGGACCAUCCUCCAAGGCUAAAUACUCCUGACUGACCGAUAGUGAACCAGUACCGUGAGGGAAAGGCGAAAAGAACCCCGGCGAGGGGAGUGAAAAAGAACCUGAAACCGUGUACGUACAAGCAGUGGGAGCCCCACCACCAAAGCAUUUGCUGUACCGCGUUGACGGAGCGAAGCGACGUCAAACCGAUAAAACAGCAGUGUAAAGUGAGCCGCAGGGCGCUUUGCGCGACAGCGCAAAGGCAGGCGGUUUCGCGUAGCGAAAGCGAAUGCUUUGGGGUGGGGUGACUGCGUACCUUUUGUAUAAUGGGUCAGCGACUUAUAUUCUGUAGCAAGGUUAACCGAAUAGGGGAGCCGGAGGGAAACCGAGUCUUAAUUGGGCGUUAAGUUGCAGGGUAUAGACCCGAAACCCGGUGAUCUAGCCAUGGGCAGGUUGAAGGUUGGGUAACACUAACUGGAGGACCGAACCGACUAAUGUUGAAAAAUUAGCGGAUGACCUGUGGCUGGGGGUGAAAGGCCAAUCAAACCGGGAGAUAGCUGGUUCUCCCCGAAAGCUAUUUAGGUAGCGCCUCGUGAAUUCAUCUCCGGGGGUAGAGCACUGUUUCGGCUAGGGGGCCAUCCCGGCUUACCAACCCGAUGCAAACUGCGAAUACCGGAGAAUGUUAUCACGGGAGACACACGGCGGGUGCUAACGUCCGUCGUGAAGAGGGAAACAACCCAGACCGCCAGCUAAGGUCCCAAAGUCAUGGUUAAGUGGGAAACGAUGUGGGAAGGCCCAGACAGCCAGGAUGUUGGCUUAGAAGCAGCCAUCAUUUAAAGAAAGCGUAAUAGCUCACUGGUCGAGUCGGCCUGCGCGGAAGAUGUAACGGGGCUAAACCAUGCACCGAAGCUGCGGCAGCGACACUGUGUGUUGUUGGGUAGGGGAGCGUUCUGUAAGCCUGUGAAGGUGUGUCGUGAGGCAUGCUGGAGGUAUCAGAAGUGCGAAUGCUGACAUAAGUAACGAUAAAGCGGGUGAAAAGCCCGCUCGCCGGAAGACCAAGGGUUCCUGUCCAACGUUAAUCGGGGCAGGGUGAGUCGACCCCUAAGGCGAGGCCGAAAGGCGUAGUCGAUGGGAAACGGGUUAAUAUUCCCGUACUUGGUGUUACUGCGAAGGGGGGACGGAGAAGGCUAUGUUGGCCGGGCGACGGUUGUCCCGGUUUAAGCGUGUAGGUGUGUGUUCCAGGUAAAUCCGGUUCACUUUAACACUGAGGCGUGACGACGAGGCACUACGGUGCUGAAGCAACAAAUGCCCUGCUUCCAGGAAAAGCCUCUAAGCAUCAGGUAACAUCAAAUCGUACCCCAAACCGACACAGGUGGUCAGGUAGAGAAUACCAAGGCGCUUGAGAGAACUCGGGUGAAGGAACUAGGCAAAAUGGUGCCGUAACUUCGGGAGAAGGCACGCUGACACGUAGGUGAAGUGAUUUACUCAUGGAGCUGAAGUCAGUCGAAGAUACCAGCUGGCUGCAACUGUUUAUUAAAAACACAGCACUGUGCAAACACGAAAGUGGACGUAUACGGUGUGACGCCUGCCCGGUGCCGGAAGGUUAAUUGAUGGGGUCAGCGCAAGCGAAGCUCCUGAUCGAAGCCCCGGUAAACGGCGGCCGUAACUAUAACGGUCCUAAGGUAGCGAAAUUCCUUGUCGGGUAAGUUCCGACCUGCACGAAUGGCGUAAUGAUGGCCAGGCUGUCUCCACCCGAGACUCAGUGAAAUUGAACUCGCUGUGAAGAUGCAGUGUACCCGCGGCAAGACGGAAAGACCCCGUGAACCUUUACUAUAGCUUGACACUGAACAUUGAGCCUUGAUGUGUAGGAUAGGUGGGAGGCUUUGAAGUGUGGACGCCAGUCUGCAUGGAGCCGACCUUGAAAUACCACCCUUUAAUGUUUGAUGUUCUAACGUGGACCCGUUACCCGGGUUGCGGACAGUGUCUGGUGGGUAGUUUGACUGGGGCGGUCUCCUCCUAAAGAGUAACGGAGGAGCACGAAGGUUGG